AAUUGACUGGAUCUUUUACUUCAGUUUAGAACUCAGGACUGCUCAAGGAUAUUCAAAUUUUUACAUCUCUAGUUUACCCAAGAUACUUGCCUGCAGAAUUUCUUUCCUAAAAUUCUAUUGUCAAGACUUUGCUGUGGACGAAUCUCAACAAAACUAAAGGCAUGAGGCAGCUUUGGUCACCAAACCAGGCAUCAAGAUAGGAUGAACAAAGGACUGCCAUCUACUCUCUCCCUGACUGAUGUAAAAACAACACAAGAAAGAGCCAACUGGUAUUACCUUACUGAAGCCUAUAUAUAGCCUAAAUCUUCUGGGAACAUGUACAGGACACCUGAACAUCAGAAUGAUCCUGGUAAUGCCUAAACAUGAACUGAACAAGAAUGAACCAAUCCACAUGCUUGUAUGGAUGGGAAAUCUCAGGAGGUCUCAACCCUAUUCAAAGAACUACAGGCACAGGGGAUGGAGCAGAGACUGAGGUAAUGGCAAACC
Molecule: small RNA, 486 nt
Filed under: Rattus norvegicus (Norway rat)
Lineage: Eukaryota; Metazoa; Chordata; Mammalia; Rodentia; Muridae
Description: uncharacterized LOC102553210
Source: RNAcentral